AGCUCCAAUAGCGUAUAUUAAAGUUGUUGCAGUUAAAAAGCUCGUAGUCGAAUUUUGGAAUUCAUUGACUGGUCCACCGUAAGGUGUGCACUGGUCUGAUGGGUUCUUCCUUCUAAAAACCAUUGUGCCCUUUAUUGGGUGCUUUGGCUCUUUAGACUAGUUACUUUGAAAAAAUUAGAGUGUUUAAGGCAGGCAUAAGCUUGAAUAGAUUAGCAUGGAAUAAUGGAAUAGGACUUUGGUUCUAUUUUGUUGGUUUCUAGGACCAAAGUAAUGAUUAAUAGGGAUAGUUGGGGGCAUUAGUAUUGAUCUGUCAGAGGUGAAAUUCUUGGAUUUGAUCAAGACUAACAACUGCGAAAGCAUUUGCCAAGGAUGUUUUCAUUGAUCAAGAACGAAAGUACGC
This 400-nucleotide ribosomal RNA is filed under the name phytoplankton environmental sample. RNAcentral's name for it is "partial small subunit ribosomal RNA". It matches the Rfam family "Eukaryotic small subunit ribosomal RNA", at positions 587 to 994 of the family's 1831-position model. The record is from RNAcentral.